UAAAAAGAUGAGGCUCUGCCUUUUAUUUUAAAAACUACAUAGUUUCAAAUCGUAGAUAAUGUUUUAACGAGAAGCUGUAGCAUUUUGAAAUACAUAUUUUUAAUUUCACAAUCAUUUGCUUUAUAAUAACUGAUUAUUUUUAACUUAAGGACUUUAUAAAGGCGUAUCGUAAUUUUCGUUUUUAAAUUGUAAGUUGUAAUCAUCUGUCAGUGUCACUUUGUGUCAAAUGCGAAAGAAGGGAAUCAAAUUUUCGCCGCUGUCAAACCAAAAAACGAGUGCUUAAGCUACUAAUACUAGUACAAAUAGUAUUUUAUUAUACCAAUUUUACUUUUUAGUAUGUCAUGCAGUUACGCAGAUGGUUUGUCACGCUACGAAGAUAAAGGAAUAUGCGGACUACCUGAGGUACAUGAUCCAGAAGAAAAGAUUACAUUGAAAGCCAUACAACUUGCCCAGUGGAUCCAAGAGUCUGAACAUGUGGUAGUGCACACUGGAGCUGGAAUUAGCACAUCGGCAGGAAUCCCAGACUUCAGAGGACCAAAGGGUGUCUGGACUUUAGAACAGAAAGGAGAGAAACCUCAGAUCAACAUUUCCUUCAGUUCUGCCAUUCCAACAAAAACACACAUGGCUUUAGUUGAAUUUAUGAAGUUAGGAUUAAUUCAUUUUGUUGUGAGCCAAAAUGUAGAUGGCUUACAUUUGCGCUCAGGUCUUCCUCAAGACAAAUUCUGUGAACUUCAUGGUAACAUGUUUCUUGAUAAAUGUAAACAGUGUCAAAGACUGUUCAUAAGAAGUCAGGCUUCUGUGAGUGUGGGUCAAAAAUGUACAGACCAACCAUGCCCUCUGAGGAAAACAAAUGGACGAGUAUGUAGGGGGAAACUUUAUGACACAAUUCUGGAUUGGGAGGAUGAACUACCUGAGGAAGACUUGGAACUAGCUGAUGUUCAUUCCAGGGUGGCUGAUCUUAGCAUUUGUCUUGGAACAACACUUCAGAUAGUUCCCAGUGGAAGUUUACCACUCCUCACCAAAAAAAAUGGUGGACGCAUGGUGAUUUGUAAUCUGCAACCCACAAAAUGUUCUGCUGUUGUCUUCACGGAAGUCCCGAGAGGACAAUUUCUGUGGUGAUAGUGGCCAUCAUUCAAUCCUGGGUCUUCUUGACAGAGAGGCUACUAGUGCUUUUGACUCUUUAACAAGAAGACCUAGCUACUACCACCUGACUAACAGUUAUUCUCCAAAAUGAUCAUUUUGCUGACCUUAUCAUCCAUGACUAUGUUGAUAACUUCAUUGAAAAGCUUGCCAUGCAUUUAGGUGUGUCAAUUCCUCCUUAUUGUCCUGAACAGGAUCCCACACUUAAGACCAAGUCUUCUGUCAUGGAGU
Molecule: unclassified non-coding RNA, 1371 nt
Filed under: Limulus polyphemus (Atlantic horseshoe crab)
Lineage: Eukaryota; Metazoa; Arthropoda; Merostomata; Xiphosura; Limulidae
Description: nAD-dependent protein deacetylase Sirt6-like, transcript variant X1
Source: RNAcentral